RNAcentral lists this transfer RNA (71 nucleotides) under Camelus bactrianus (Bactrian camel). It matches the Rfam family "tRNA". From Rfam's summary of the family: Transfer RNA (tRNA) molecules are approximately 80 nucleotides in length. RNAcentral also lists the same sequence under 2 other names. Lineage: Eukaryota; Metazoa; Chordata; Mammalia; Artiodactyla; Camelidae. The record is from Rfam by way of RNAcentral.
GAGUGUAUAGCUCAGUGGUAAAGUGCAUGCUUAGCAUUCAUGACGUCCUGGGUUCAAUCCCCAGUACCUCU